GAUGAACGCUGGCGGCGUGCCUAAUACAUGCAAGUCGAGCGAACGGACGAGAAGCUUGCUUCUCUGAUGUUAGCGGCGGACGGGUGAGUAACACGUGGAUAACCUACCUAUAAGACUGGGAUAACUUCGGGAAACCGGAGCUAAUACCGGAUAAUAUUUUGAACCAUGGUUCAAAAGUGAAAGACGGUCUUGCUGUCACUUAUAGAUGGAUCCGCGCUGCAUUAGCUAGUUGGUAAGGUAACGGCUUACCAAGGCAACGAUGCAUAGCCGACCUGAGAGGGUGAUCGGCCACACUGGAACUGAGACACGGUCCAGACUCCUAAGGGAGGCAGCAGUAGGGAAUCUUCCGCAAUGGGCGAAAGCCUGACGGAGCAACGCCGCGUGAGUGAUGAAGGUCUUCGGAUCGUAAAACUCUGUUAUUAGGGAAGAACAUAUGUGUAAGUAACUGUGCACAUCGUGACGGUACCUAAUCAGAAAGCCACGGCUAACUACGUG
Molecule: ribosomal RNA, 495 nt
Filed under: uncultured bacterium
Lineage: Bacteria
Description: partial 16S ribosomal RNA
Rfam family: Bacterial small subunit ribosomal RNA
Source: RNAcentral